GGCCCGCACAAGCAGCGGAGCGUGUGGUUUAAUUCGAUGUUACACGAAGAACCUUACAGGGUUUGACAUGCAAGUGGUAGGAAGCCGAAAGGUGACCGACCCUUCGGGGAGCUUGCACAGGUGCUGCAUGGCUGUCGUCAGCUCGUGUCGUGAGAUGUUCGGUUAAGUCCGCUAACGAGCGCAACCCUCGCUGUGUGUUAUAUGUGUCACACGGGACUGCCGGUCUUAAGCCGGAGGAAGGUGGGGAUGAUGUCAAGUCAGCAUGGCCUUUAUAUCCUGGGCUACACACACGCUACAAUGGCCAACACAAUAGGUUGCUAAGCCGCGAGGUGGCGCCAAUCCAUAAAGUUGGUCUCAGUUCAGAUUGUAGGCUGCAACCCGAGAGCAUGAAGUCGGAAUCGCUAGUAAUCGCAGGUCAGCAUACUGCGGUGAAUACGUUCCCGGGGCUU
Molecule: ribosomal RNA, 449 nt
Filed under: uncultured Leptolinea sp.
Lineage: Bacteria; Bacillati; Chloroflexota; Anaerolineae; Anaerolineales; Anaerolineaceae
Description: bacterial SSU rRNA
Rfam family: Bacterial small subunit ribosomal RNA
Source: RNAcentral